Molecule: long non-coding RNA, 1310 nt
Filed under: Nicotiana benthamiana
Lineage: Eukaryota; Viridiplantae; Streptophyta; Magnoliopsida; Solanales; Solanaceae
Description: long non-coding RNA (NBEN_LNC024051)
Source: RNAcentral
CUGUUGAAUGCUCUGGACAUUCUGUUCUGAUAAAGCUGACCAUGCAAACUGCAUUCAUUCUCUUCCAAUCUAUAAGAGCCAACUUCCUGUAGCGACUCUUCACUCACUUUGUGUCAUCAAGUUCUGCUUCUUGUAUGAUCCUUUGGGAGGGAAUUUCUACCUCGUCGGGAAUGACCGAUGUGUACUGUAAACCAGCAUAUAGGGAGUUGCCUCGGUUGAUGUGCGGACUUUGGUGCGGUACCCCAAUACAACAAAUGAUAACUUCUCAUGCCACUGCUGGAAAUACUAUGGUUUUCUACUUGAAUCCUAGGGUUUUCAACUCAAAUCAGAUAGAGAGACGAGAAGACAAAUAACUUAAACAGGCUCAGAGGUCUCUUUUAGAGACUUUUUAGAAAACAAAUAGAUACAAUACUAAGUUCGAAGAAACAAAGUAAAAAAAUUGAUUCGAAACAUAGAGAGAGUAGAAGGAGCAUAUUUUAUGAAAACUUGGAACUCAAGCAUGUUCAGAAGAGCAAAAGAUGUAAUAUAGCACUUAAGAGAACAACUAAAAGAAAAAACGUUUAAAAAGAACUCAAAUAAUGGUCCAGUAAAAGGCAAACGAAGAACAUACAAACUCGGUAGGAAAUACAUGCAGUAGGAGAACAAAGAUAUUAGAAAAGUAUAUUAACAAGAUAUAUAGGAAAAAACAUAGCAGAAGGAACAUGCGAGCAUGGUGUAAAACAUAGAAGAAAGACAAGGCACAAAAGAACAUGUAUAGUAGCACAAACAAAAGAAAGCAGUAGAAGCACAUGCGUGACAAAUAUACACAAUGAAAAAGGAAAAGAAAAGUGGAAGAAACAUUUUGAACUUUUCAAAAAUCCUAAAUCGAAUAGCAGUAAUUUUAAUAGAAAAAGAUAGGGAAAAUGUUUUCAAAACUAAAGUGGAGCACAAAUAUAGACUAGAUUUAAGAAGACAAUCAGAGAAACAUCGAGUAUCUAGGGUUUCAGAGGAACCCUAAAACGAGAAAUGCUUGGAAAAGGUCAAAUCUUGAGUCGGAUAAAUCAGAACCAUGCUCGAAAUGCUUUGGAUACGUCAGACCUAAGCCGGAGAAACCACAGAACCUUGAAUCGGUGAAGAUCAGAAUGGACACCAUAAAGAUCAGACCUCAAAACUUCGAACACCAAGCGUUCAAGAGCAGAGGGAGGUGAAUAUAGACAAUCCAUGGCUUGAGAGGCCAUGGAUUCCGGUGAGUUUCAGGUUAAAAAUAGUAGAAGAUGAUUAGGAUUUCAAGAAAUUUGAGAGAGUUUGAGAGACAUAGGGGUUUCAGGGAU